UAGGGAAUAUUGCGUAAUGUGCGAAAGCGCGACGCAGCAACGCCGCGUGUGCGAAGAAGGCCUUCGGGUUGUAAAGCACUUUUCGAGGAGAAGAGGAAGGACGGUAACCUCGGAAUAAGCCUCGGCUAACUACGUGCCAGCAGCCGCGGUAAUACGUAGGAGGCGAGCGUUAUCCGGAUUUAUUGGGCGUAAAGCGCUUGCAGGCGGUGUAUCAAGUUGGAUAUGAAAGCUCCUGGCUCAACUAGGAGAGGCUAUUCAAAACUGAUAGACUAGAGGAUGGUAGAGGAAGGUGGAAUUCCGGGAGUAGUGGUGAAAUGCGUAGAUAUCCGGAGGAACACCAGUGGCGAAAGCGGCUUUCUGGGCCAAACCUGACGCUAAGAAGCGUAAGCUAGGGUAGCAAACGGG
Molecule: ribosomal RNA, 405 nt
Filed under: uncultured bacterium
Lineage: Bacteria
Description: bacterial SSU rRNA
Rfam family: Bacterial small subunit ribosomal RNA
Source: RNAcentral